This 965-nucleotide long non-coding RNA is filed under the name Pan troglodytes (chimpanzee). Its description in RNAcentral is "long non-coding RNA NONPTRT016748". The record is from RNAcentral. Lineage: Eukaryota; Metazoa; Chordata; Mammalia; Primates; Hominidae.
GGGAAGCCGGGGCUUGGGAGGGCAGGGCUUUCUCUGCUUGCGGACAUCGCGAAGGGCCUCUGGCAGGCGCCGCCGGGUGGCGGCGAGACGCCUCCGCGCCUCCGGGGUUCCUUGUUGGCUGUCGGAGGAGGACCGGCUGAGGGAUGGCCUGGUGGGGAGGGAGCCCUCGGGCAGUUAGCUGCGUCGGGCCUGGGGCAGUUGUGCUGCACUUGGAGACCUGCCCGCCUUCGGGGCCUGUGUGCACGGGGAGGAUAGGCUGUUUAUCUCUGCAGGCUCAGGAAGGCAGGUAGCUGGCCCGUCAGUCAUCCGCCCUGCAAAGCGCUCCCGAGAGACCCCGUAGAGCGGACCGGACGCGCGCUCGCCUUCGGGCCAGCGCGCGCCUGGCCUGAGGUUUCCCGCCCCCGGAGGCCCUCACAUCUCCCCGGUAACGCUUAGGAAUUCGGGCAGCCAGCUCGCCUACCCCUGGGGAAUCGAGGCAGAGCUUCUGGGAAUGGGGUCUGAGGGAAGAGUGCUCACCAGGCAGUGACAUGUAGCCGUUGAGGAUCGCCACUGCCGUCUCGUUCUGUGUUCUGUAGUCAGAAGUCCAACAUGGUUCUCAAUGGCCUAAAAUCAAGGUGUCCACAGGAUUGUGUUCCUUUCUAGAGAGCAAGCUGCAGUGUGGUAAACUGCCUUUGAAAGAGACCCACAUGUCAAGAAACUGAGCAUCACCUGUGACCAACAGCCAGAAAGUAACUGAAGCCCCAAGACGAACAGCUUGUGCAAAACUAAAUUCUGCCUACAACAAGAGCAUGAAUCGAGACGCAGAUCCUUCCCUAGUUGAUCCUUGAAAUGCUUGCAGCUCUAUGGACACCUUGAUUGCAGCCUUGUGAGAAAUUCUGAACUAGAGGACCUCGUAUGCCUUACCCAUAGGACUUAGAAGAUAAUACGUGUUUUUCAAAAAAAUUUCAUUUGCAUUCAAGGAAGCU